This 542-nucleotide ribosomal RNA is filed under the name Bacillus siamensis. Its description in RNAcentral is "bacterial SSU rRNA". It matches the Rfam family "Bacterial small subunit ribosomal RNA", at positions 1 to 524 of the family's 1533-position model. The record is from RNAcentral. Lineage: Bacteria; Bacillati; Bacillota; Bacilli; Caryophanales; Bacillaceae.
UUUAUCGGAGAGUUUGAUCCUGGCUCAGGACGAACGCUGGCGGCGUGCCUAAUACAUGCAAGUCGAGCGGACAGAUGGGAGCUUGCUCCCUGAUGUUAGCGGCGGACGGGUGAGUAACACGUGGGUAACCUGCCUGUAAGACUGGGAUAACUCCGGGAAACCGGGGCUAAUACCGGAUGGUUGUUUGAACCGCAUGGUUCAGACAUAAAAGGUGGCUUCGGCUACCACUUACAGAUGGACCCGCGGCGCAUUAGCUAGUUGGUGAGGUAACGGCUCACCAAGGCGACGAUGCGUAGCCGACCUGAGAGGGUGAUCGGCCACACUGGGACUGAGACACGGCCCAGACUCCUACGGGAGGCAGCAGUAGGGAAUCUUCCGCAAUGGACGAAAGUCUGACGGAGCAACGCCGCGUGAGUGAUGAAGGUUUUCGGAUCGUAAAGCUCUGUUGUUAGGGAAGAACAAGUGCCGUUCAAAUAGGGCGGCACCUUGACGGUACCUAACCAGAAAGCCACGGCUAACUACGUGCCAGCAGCCGCGGUAAU